This 483-nucleotide ribosomal RNA is filed under the name uncultured bacterium. RNAcentral describes it as "partial 16S ribosomal RNA". It matches the Rfam family "Bacterial small subunit ribosomal RNA", at positions 28 to 507 of the family's 1533-position model. The record is from RNAcentral.
GACGAACGCUGGCGGCGUGCUUAACACAUGCAAGUCGAACGCUGAAGCUCAGCUUUUGUUGGGUGGGUGAGUGGCACACGGGUGAGUAACACGUGAGUAACCUGACUCCUUCUUUGGGAUAACGCCCGGAAACGGGUGCUAAUACUGGAUAUUCACUGGUCUUCGCAUGGGGGUUGGUGGAAAGGGUUUUUCUGGUGGGGGAUGGGCUCGCGGCCUAUCGGCUUGUUGGUGGGUUGUUGGCCUACCAAGGCUUUGACGGGUAGCCGGACUGAGAGUAGGACGGGCGAGAGGGUGAUCGGGAUACGUCCGAGAGUGAUACGGGAGGGAGCAGUGGGGAAGAUAGCAGAAGGGGAGCAAGCGUGGUGGAGCGACGCCGGGUGAGGGAUGGAGGCGUGCGGGUUGUGAACCUCUUUCGCGCAUGGUUAAGCCGCAACAAUGGUUGUGGUGAGGGUAGUGGGUAAAGAAGCGCCGGCUAACUACGUG